AGUGGCAGUGAAAACAUUACUCACUGGGCCCAGGGAGUACACAGGAGCCUCCAAGACACCUCGAGUAUCCUCAGAACUGCUGUGGAUAGGCCAUGGCCCAGGAUGAGAGAAAAACUUCAGAUAAAGUGGAGGAGGCGCUCGUGGUAAAUAAGAAUGAACACCAGAGUAGUGAGGAACACAUGAAAAUAGAAACGUACCUGGUAACACUUCCAACUGCCAUGAAGAAGUUUGCAAAUAUCCCAGAUAGGAAAAAGUUGCAUCCAGAGUACAAGGAUUCUUCAGAAAGACCAUUUGGUUUGGGCCCUCUCAUUUUCCCUUGUUUACAGCGUUUCAACAACAUUAAGACCUUCCUGUUUCUGCUCUUUGUAGCAGUCUUUGCUCAUGGUAUGCUAUUUGCUCUUGUUGAUGUCACCAUAGUUGUUUAUGCAUCUCAUUUUUCAACGUCAAAUUCAGAGACAUUCAUAAUGAAUUUUAGUGAUUAUUUUGCUGCUUUCUUGGUUGCAAUGUUUGUAGGAUACUUUGGCGGUAGAGGGAAUAGGGCAAAAUGGGCAGCAGCUGGCAGCUUUGUAACAGGACUUGCAGCAAUUGUUUUUGCUGUUCCUAUCUAUAAUUAUGAAAUUAUAACACUGAGUCAAGUAAAAGAAGAGUUGUGCAAGGAAGGAAAAAUGACAACUAAAGUUUGUGAAGAAACAUUAAUACAGAACAAAUCAAUAUGUAUCUUUCUCUUCAUCUUCGGGCAGUUUCUCCAUGGAAUAGCAGGGAUGCCAAUGUAUAUACUUGCCACAACAUUCAUUUUUGACCACGUUCCAACAAACUCAUCUGGAUUAUAUUUAGCUAUUGCAGAUGCUGCACUAAUAGUGGGAUACACUCUGGGUUUUACAGCAGCAAAAAAAAAGUUGCCUAUACAAGAAGCUAUGCAAGCAGUUGGACAUGUUCAGAGGUUUCGAAUAUUGCAGCGUCAUUGGUGGAAAUCUUUUUUUAUUGCUGCUGUAAUUGCAUUUAGUACAACUUUACCACUGCUCUGUUUUCCAUCUAGUUUGCCUGGUGCACACAAGUUAAGACUUAAAAGAAGGGGACCUCCCACCAUUGACACGAGACUUAAAAAUAAGAAAAUCAAGCCUAAUUUGAAGAGUAUUCUUCAUGCUGUUUGGUGUCUACUGAGGAACCCAUUGGUGCUGACUCAGACAUUCUGCAAAGUCACAGAGGUUUUGACUUUUAAGGCAUCUUCACAUUUUUUGCCUCGAUAUUUACAAACUCGCUUUUUAAUGGCACCUUCACGUGCCUCUAAAUUCUCAGGUGCUCUUGUACUUUCAGGAAGUGGCAUUGGCCAUUUUGUUGGAGGCUACAUUGUUGACAGAUUGGAAAUGGAUAAUAAGAGCAAAUUGAAAUUAAUAGCAAUAUCUGCUGUUGUGUCAGCUGUGCUUUUCCUAUUAACAUUUUUUGUGGAGUGUGAAACAGCAAAAUUUCAAGGAAUCAAUGAUGAUUAUGAUAGCUCAGGUAGACUUGGAAACCUCACAGCUCCGUGCAAUGAGAACUGUGGCUGCACAACUUCAGUCUAUAAUUCUGUGUGUGGAAGAGAUGAGAACCAGUAUUUCUCUCCCUGCUUUGCAGGAUGCAGAGCUACUAAAAGCCUAAAGGAGAAAAAGGCAUACUACAAUUGUUCUUGCAUUAAUGAAGGAUUGAUAACUGUUGAUCAGGAAGGUCAAGAGAUUGAUGCUGUUUCUGGAACAUGUGAUACCAAAUGUCAUACAAUACCUUUGUUUUUUGCCUUUUACUUUUCUGCAACUGUUUUUUCUCAUUUAAGUAGUAUACCUGUCAUCUUGAUUAUCAUUCAGUAUGAUUGAAGCAUUCUUACUUGGGGCCUUCUGUUUGUUAACCUCCUCGAAUUCUGUAGAUUAUAUCCUAGGAAUUCUUUUUUGGCUAAUAUCCAUUUACUAAAGUGUACCUGCCAGUUGGAAUUCAAUGGCCUUGGGUUUUACAUAUACAGUUUGGAGAUUCACUGGAGCUGUUCCUGGACCACUAUUAUUUGCAGCAACAUCAGAUUUUACUUGUAAAUUCUGGGACAUUAAUGAAUGUGGAAAUAAAGUACGUUGUUGGAUCUUUGAUAAGCAAAAUUUGGUUUACACAUUUCAGAUAAUAUGGAUUGGCCUGCAAGGAUUGGCAGGCUUUCUUUGUUUUUAUGCUCUUUCCAGAUAUGAUUAUGUGGUAAAUGAAAAGACAGAAGAACUGCCUACACCUGUAAAUGUUAAAAGAACUGAAGAAUUCUAACUGAUUUCUUCAUUGGGACAUCAAGCCUUCCCAGGAUCAAGAGCCUAUUCUCCCAUUGAAGUCCAACAAGGCCAUCCUUUGCUACAUAUACAGCUGGAGCCAUGGGUCCCUCCAGGACUGGAGAAUCUGUGAGGUUCUGAGUUCUAAGGAGAGCAGUCUAUCCUUUGAAGAUUUCAUAAGAUGUGCUAUAAUUUCAGAAGAGAAAAAUACCAUUAAAGUGUCUGUGUGGAUCUUUAUUUUCAUAAUAAAAAUACUUGUAUG
Non-coding RNA from Arvicanthis niloticus (Nile rat), 2529 nucleotides. The record is from RefSeq and is a predicted model, not a curated record. NCBI's taxonomy places the organism in Eukaryota, Metazoa, Chordata, Mammalia, Rodentia, Muridae.